GACGAACGCUGGCGGCGUGCUUAACACAUGCAAGUCGAACGGAAAGGCCCUGCUUUUGUGGGGUGCUCGAGUGGCGAACGGGUGAGUAACACGUGUGUAACCUCCCCUUGACUUUGGGAUAACUUCAGGAAACUGGGGCUAAUACCGGAUAGGAGCUCCUGCUGCAUGGUGGGGGUUGGAAAGUUUCGGCGGUUGGGGAUGGACUCGCGGCUUAUCAGCUUGUUGGUGGGGUAGUGGCUUACCAAGGCUUUGACGGGUAGCCGGCCUGAGAGGGUGACCGGCCACAUUGGGACUGAGAUACGGCCCAGACUCCUACGGGAGGCAGCAGUGGGGAAUAUUGCACAAUGGGCGGAAGCCUGAUGCAGCAACGCCGCGUGCGGGAUGACGGCCUUCGGGUUGUAAACCGCUUUCGCCUGUGACGAAGCGUGAGUGACGGUAAUGGGUAAAGAAGCACCGGCUAACUACGUG
This 468-nucleotide ribosomal RNA is filed under the name uncultured bacterium. RNAcentral's name for it is "partial 16S ribosomal RNA". It matches the Rfam family "Bacterial small subunit ribosomal RNA", at positions 28 to 507 of the family's 1533-position model. The record is from RNAcentral.